CAAAUGAUGGAACUCUUAUGACCCAGCUGCGUUAGCUUUGCCGAGCGCCCCUUGAGGCGCCAGGCGGACGGUUAUGCUGCCCCUUUUUUGGCCAUGCUCUUACCUUUUCGGGAACCAUGGAAAAUUAUGUGGUAUCGCUUGUUGCCUCGGAUGCGGAGCACGAAGCGAGCAUGAUGCCUGUCAUCAUUCGCUCAUUCGGAGCUCUCGAUUGCUCGGAAAGUGAGAAUGCCGCGCUUGGUUUUGGCUGUCGACUCGUCGAGCCAGCUCAAAACCUCGCCGACGUCUUCAACGAAUGCUACCUGGUUGAUCCUGCCAGUAGUCAUAUGCUUGUCUCAAAGAUUAAGCCAUGCAGGU
This 354-nucleotide ribosomal RNA is filed under the name Echeveria agavoides. RNAcentral describes it as "partial 18S ribosomal RNA". The stretch from base 297 to 354 matches the Rfam family "Eukaryotic small subunit ribosomal RNA", at positions 1 to 58 of the family's 1831-position model. The record is from RNAcentral. Lineage: Eukaryota; Viridiplantae; Streptophyta; Magnoliopsida; Saxifragales; Crassulaceae.